This 468-nucleotide ribosomal RNA is filed under the name uncultured bacterium. Its description in RNAcentral is "partial 16S ribosomal RNA". It matches the Rfam family "Bacterial small subunit ribosomal RNA", at positions 28 to 507 of the family's 1533-position model. The record is from RNAcentral.
GACGAACGCUGGCGGCGUGCUUAACACAUGCAAGUCGAACGGAAAGGCCCUGCUUUUGUGGGGUGCUCGAGUGGCGAACGGGUGAGUAACACGUGAGUAACCUGCCCUUGACUUUGGGAUAACUUCAGGAAACUGGGGCUAAUACCGGAUAGGAGCUCCUGCUGCAUGGUGGGGGUUGGAAAGUUUCGGCGGUUGGGGAUGGACUCGCGGCUUAUCAGCUUGUUGGUGGGGUAGUGGCUUACCAAGGCUUUGACGGGUAGCCGGCCUGAGAGGGUUACCGGCCACAGUGGGACUGAGAUACGGCCCAGACUCCUACGGGAGGCAGCAGUGAGGAAUAUUGCACAAUGGGCGGAAGCCUGAUGCAGAAACGUCGCGUGCGGGAUGACGGCCUUCGGGUUGUAAACCGCUUUCGCCUGUGACGAAGCGUGAGUGACGGUAAUGGGUAAAGAAGCACCGGCUAACUACGUG